RNAcentral lists this ribosomal RNA (631 nucleotides) under Aroramyces herrerae. RNAcentral describes it as "partial large subunit ribosomal RNA". It matches the Rfam family "Eukaryotic large subunit ribosomal RNA", at positions 66 to 660 of the family's 3401-position model. The record is from RNAcentral. Lineage: Eukaryota; Fungi; Basidiomycota; Agaricomycetes; Hysterangiales; Hysterangiaceae.
UAACAAGGAUUCCCCUAGUAACUGCGAGUGAAGCGGGAUGAGCUCAAAUUUGUAAUCUGGCAGUCUUUUGGCUGUCCGAGUUGUAGUCUGGAGAAGUGUCUUCUGUGCCGGACCGUGUACAAGUCCCUUGGAACGGGGCGUCGUAGAGGGUGAGAAUCCCGUCUUUGACACGGACCACCGGUGCUAUGUGAUGCGCUCUCGAAGAGUCGAGUUGUUUGGGAAUGCAGCUCAAAUCGGGUGGUAAAUUCCAUCUAAAGCUAAAUAUUGGCGAAAGACCGAUAGCGAACAAGUACCGUGAGGGAAAGAUGAAAAGCACUUUGGAAAGAGAGUCAAACAGUACGUGAAAUUGUUGAAAGGGAAACGCUUGAAGUCAGUCGCGUCUGCCGGGACUCAGUCGGGUUUCUUGCCUGAUGUAUUUUCCGGUGUCGGACGGGCCAGCAUCGAUUUCAAUCGUCGGAGAAAGGCCUGGGGAAUGUGGCACCCUUUCGGGGGUGUGUUAUAGCCCGGGGUCAUAUGUGACGGUCGAGAUCGAGGAUUGCAGCAUGCCCCCCUUUCUAGUGGGGGCCGGGGUUCGCCCACGUAACAUGCUUGGGAUGCUGGCGUAAUGGCUUUAAACGACCCGUCUUGAAAC